Molecule: transfer RNA, 72 nt
Filed under: Marmota marmota marmota (Alpine marmot)
Lineage: Eukaryota; Metazoa; Chordata; Mammalia; Rodentia; Sciuridae
Also listed under: 1 other name
Rfam family: tRNA
About the family: Transfer RNA (tRNA) molecules are approximately 80 nucleotides in length.
Source: Rfam by way of RNAcentral
AGUCGUGUGGCUCAGUGGUAGAGCACUUUCCUGGCAUGUGUGAGGCCCUGGGUUCGAUUCUCAGCAUGACAU